Molecule: ribosomal RNA, 128 nt
Filed under: Synechococcus sp. UBA8071
Lineage: Bacteria; Bacillati; Cyanobacteriota; Cyanophyceae; Synechococcales; Synechococcaceae
Also listed under: 1 other name
Description: partial 16S ribosomal RNA
Rfam family: Bacterial small subunit ribosomal RNA
Source: RNAcentral
CAACGGAGAGUUUGAUCCUGGCUCAGGAUGAACGCUGGCGGCGUGCUUAACACAUGCAAGUCGAACGAACCUUCGGGUUAGUGGCGGACGGGUGAGUAACGCGUGAGAAUCUGCCCUCAGGAGGGGGA